GCGGGACAAUAGUAAGAAAUUUAAUAAUUUAAUUAAUUAACGGUCAAAAUUAACAAAUUAAGGCAAAAUUAACUUUUGUUUACGACCAAAACAACGCCACCUCUUUUUACAUCACAUUGAUUUGGCAGCUUGACAUUGCGCGGGAUAUUUGUUGUUGUGUUUGGUCAAAUUUUGUUUUGUUUUGAUUGCGUAUUUGCGUUAACCAAACCAAAGGGCAUUGCUCGCCAGGAAUCUGCUCCAACAAGCCAACUGGUUGAACUCCUGCCAGAUGUACAUCGCUUUUACUGCAUCGGAAAGUACAAUAAUGCCAGUUCACUUGGAACUGUGGCGUUCCAGAUCCUAACCUGUCUCCUGAACGUGGUCAACCGGAUCCAGGCAGACAACGUCCAACAUCAUUUCCAUCGGCAUGAUUAACUCUGGAAAAUUAGCUGACUCGUCCCCAUUGGAUGAUCGCAAAUGAAUUCACGGGGCUUCGACAAAUCGCCGUGUCUGUUUUCGAGUGCAAACUGGCCUCCAACCCUGCCUUCCCAACAUUUACAGCACCGAUUUCAUGGAUUUCGUCUAGGAAAAGCGCCUGCACCUGAACAUCAACGAAGAAGCCAUCGAAGAUGAUCCAGCGGACGUACAUUUUGUGACCGGAAGACCCGGAAUAUGAGGUGGAUGGGCCAGGACCAAGAGCCAAUUGUGGCGAAUCAUGUAACGAUGUAAAAUUACGUACGUGUUCCAGAGAAGUGGUUAGGACGGAAGAUGCCUGCGAGAGCAGAGUUUUCGGUAAAAUUAUUUUGGUAAUAAAAAGCGAACAAAAAAAAAA
Molecule: long non-coding RNA, 811 nt
Organism: Culex quinquefasciatus (southern house mosquito)
Lineage: Eukaryota; Metazoa; Arthropoda; Insecta; Diptera; Culicidae
Exons: 2
Source: RefSeq, a predicted model, not a curated record